GAUGGUUCUGCUCCGGGAAGACCCAAAGAAACCCAGAGCACAGUCAGAGUGCCAACACAGGUUGAAGGAGAGGUGUGAGGAGAAGGGGAGGUUGUGAAAAGUGCAAUGGCUAUAGGANGCGGGAGAGGAGAGAGAGCAUGUCCUGUGAGCGCAUUGGGAGGGAUAGGAGGGAGGCUACUUGGCCCUUCCCCAGCACAGGUGGAAGAAGGAAAUCUGGAUAGCUGGGACAGAGUGGAGAUCAAUGCCAAUGACUCAAAAUGCAGGCACAAAACAAAGUUUGUUAGCUCCCCAGGGUGUGAUCACUACUGAAGCCUCACUUUGACAAAAGGAGGAGGACCACAUGGGGUACCGCAGCAAGGCGUGGUUGGAAUAGCCUUCAUCAGGGCUCCCAUUGACCACUCUUGCCAUUGGUUAACAGAGUAGCUCUGACUCNCUGGGGAUGAUGGUGUUCCUCCCAGCCUAACAGAUUCCCUAAGCUGGGCCCUUUUCCCUUUCUCUUUCCCCUCCUGGCCAUCCUGACUCGAUGGGAAGUCUGGGUGCAUGGCUGAAGAUCCCAACACUACAUUGCUAGCUGAGGAUGUCCCUCCCACACACUUGCCAAAGUAGAGUGGGCUGGGUCUCUUUCCCANGUCCUAUGUUAGAAAUGUGCUUUAUUCAUUUAUUUUUGCUAUUACUUAUUAUAUGUAUAUGGGGCCGGGUAACACACAUGACAUUGUGCAUAUAUGGAGGUUGGAGAACACUUUGUGAGAGUCAGUUCUCAACUACCAGGUGAGUUCCAGGGAUUGGUGGCAGUCAGGCUGGUAGCAAGCAUUCUUACCUGCUGAGCCANNUCAGCAGCCCUCAAAGAUAUUUUCAGUGUGACUUUGCUGUCAUUAAGGGUUUCAUGUAGAAUCCAUGUGCUGUCAUUAAGGGUUGCGUGUAGAAUCCAUCACCUUUACUCUUUCUGAAAUAGUCAACUUCCCUGGAGGCCACCACUCAAAAGUUUUACUGUCCCAGACUCCAGUGGCUUCACUUGGUAUACACAUUUAAACAAUAUUAUGAAAGAUACGGUGUCAUUAUAUUCUGUUUAUAAUUAAUAAUACUAACUAAUAUAACACAUGCCAAAAUUUAACUGUGAAUAUAUCAUGAAAUACAUAAUAUGUAUAUUGAUAUAGUUGCAAUAAAAUAGUAUAUAAUCC
This 1178-nucleotide long non-coding RNA is filed under the name Mus caroli (Ryukyu mouse). Its description in RNAcentral is "predicted gene, 44421 (MGP_CAROLIEiJ_G0006388.1)". Lineage: Eukaryota; Metazoa; Chordata; Mammalia; Rodentia; Muridae. The record is from RNAcentral.